GCUCUUUCUGUUUCACAACAACAGGUGUGUGUUUGCCUUCUUAAAUGUAUUUUGCAUGACUUUCAUGCAUCACUGCUCCUCAGAGUUUAAGUUCUUGUGUCACAGAGAGUCUGAACUGUUUUCAUGCACUCACACUGAAAACUGCAUCAGGAUGAUGUCGCCAAUAACUCUGCUGGUCAUGUUGGGUUUUCUGAGUCAGGAGUCUUCUGCCAGCAAAUUUCUGACUCAGACUGACAAAUUCAAGUCUGUUAGUCUUGGAGGGACGGUGACCAUCAGCGCCACAGGGAGUUCAGAUAUUGGUGCUGAUCUCAGUUGGUACCUUCAGAAACCUGGACAAGCUACCAAACUUCUAAUAUACGAUGAAUCAACUCUAAAAUCAGGAACUCCAUCUCGAUUCAGUGGCAGUACUUCUGGUUCUGGCUACACUCUGACCAUCAGUGGUGUUCAGGCUGAAGAUGUUGGAGAUUACUACUGUCUGAGUUUACAUACUGAUUUAACGUUCACACAGUGA
Non-coding RNA from Thunnus maccoyii (southern bluefin tuna), 511 nucleotides. Lineage: Eukaryota; Metazoa; Chordata; Actinopteri; Scombriformes; Scombridae. The record is from the annotation of a RefSeq genome assembly.